This 1351-nucleotide ribosomal RNA is filed under the name human gut metagenome. Its description in RNAcentral is "bacterial LSU rRNA". It matches the Rfam family "Bacterial large subunit ribosomal RNA", at positions 1286 to 2621 of the family's 2925-position model. The record is from RNAcentral.
AAGUGAGAAUGUUGGUAUGAGUAGCGAAAAGAAUGGUGAGAAUCCAUUCCACCGAAAGCAUAAGGAUUCCUGGGCAACGAUCGUCGUCCCAGGGUAAGUCGGGACCUAAUCCGAGGCAUGGAGCGUAGGAGAUGGACAACUGGCAGAUAUUCCAGUACCGGUAAUGAUUGUUUGAGCGAUGGAGUGACACAGGAGGGCAGGCAGGCAGGAGAUUGGUUGUUCCUGUACAAGCGUGUAGGAUGGGACGCAGGCAAAUCCGCGUCCUGUGAGUCUGAGGCGUGAUGUGGAGGUUCCGGAAACGGAACUGAAGCUGCUGACCCCACACUGUCGAGAAAAGCUUCUAGUUAGAGAAUUACCGCCCGUACCGUAAACCGACACAGGUAUGCGGGGAGAGAAUCCUAAGGUGCGCGGGAGAACCCUCGUUAAGGAACUCGGCAAAAUGUACCCGUAACUUCGGGAUAAGGGUAGCCGCUGUUGUGAAGUCUGAACAGACGGAGCAUGAGGCGGUCGCAGAGAAGAGGCCCAAGCGACUGUUUACCACAAACACAGGUGCCUGCUAAAGAGAAAUCUGACGUAUAGGUGCUGACACCUGCCCAGUGCCGGAAGGUUAAGGAAGGAUGUCCGGAGCAAUCCAAAGCAUUCGACCGAAGCCCCGGUGAACGGCGGCCGUAACUAUAACGGUCCUAAGGUAGCGAAAUUCCUUGUCGGGUAAGUUCCGACCCGCACGAAAGGUGUAACGAUUUGGGCACUGUCUCAACGAGGGACCCGGUGAAAUUGAAGUACCUGUGAAGAUGCAGGUUACCCGCGACUGGACAGAAAGACCCCAUGGAGCUUUACUGUAACCUGACAUUGGGUUCUGAUACAUCACGUACAGGAUAGGUGGGAGGCAUGGAAGCGAGGACGCUAGUCUUCGUGGAGCCGCCGUUGGGAUACCACCCUUGAUGUAUCGGAAUUCUAACCGUAGGAGUAACGAAACUCGGGACAGUGUCAGGCGGGCAGUUUGACUGGGGCGGUCGCCUCCCAAAGAGUAACGGAGGCGCCCAAAGGUUCCCUCAGCGCGGCCGGAAAUCGCGCGAAGUGUCAAAGCAGAAGGGAGCUUGACUGAGAGCCAAACACGGCAAUCAGGUACGAAAGUAGGGCUUAGUGAUCCGGUGGCAUCCAAGUGGAAGGGCCAUCGCUCACCCGAUAAAAGCUACCCUGGGGAUAACAGGCUUAUCUCUCCCAAGAGUCCAUAUCGACGGGGAGGUUUGGCCCUCGAUGUCGGCUCAUCACCAUCCUGGGGCUGAACUCGGUCCCAACGGUUGGGCUGUUCGCCCAUUCACGUGGUUCGUGAGCUGCGCUCCGAACGUCG